UGCUGAUUGAACAUUUCAAAA
RNAcentral lists this non-coding RNA (21 nucleotides) under Caenorhabditis elegans. Lineage: Eukaryota; Metazoa; Nematoda; Chromadorea; Rhabditida; Rhabditidae. The record is from RNAcentral.